AUGGCGACGGCGGCGGCAGUAAAAAUGUCGCCUAGGUCGACCGGAUACCCUCCGUCGUGCAAACCAAGCAACACCGGCUGCUACUGCAAGCCACCGGCCGCAGCUCCGAUGAGCACCUUAAGGUGCAGGAGCGCGGUGAGCAGCAGAGGAGGGCCGACGGCCGGGCGGCGGGAGGAGGAGGAGGAGUGGAGGAGGUACCUUGCGCCGGAGAGGCUGGAGGUGCUGGCGCGGCUGGAGCCGUGGGCGGAGGCGAACAUGCUGCCGCUGCUCAAGCCGGCGGACGAGGCGUGGCAGCCGGCGGACAUGCUCCCGGACGCGGCGGCGCUGGGCGCGGACGGCUUCCACGCGGCGUGCCUCGAGCUGCGCGCCAGGGCGGAGGGCGUGCCGGACGCGCAGCUGGUGUGCCUGGUGGGGAACAUGGUCACGGAGGAGGCGCUCCCGACGUACCAGAGCAUGUCCAACCGCUUCGAGGGCACCCGCGACACCACCGGCGCCGACGGCACCGCCUGGGCGCGCUGGGUCCGCGGCUGGUCCGCCGAGGAGAACCGCCACGGCGACGUGCUCAGCCGCUACAUGUACCUCUCCGGCCGCCUCGACAUGCGCCAGGUGGAGCGCACCGUGCACCGCCUCAUCGCCUCCGGGAUGGCCAUGCACGCGCCGGCGAGUCCCUACCACGGCUUCAUCUACGUAGCCUUCCAGGAGCGCGCCACCGCCAUCUCCCACGGCAACACGGCGCGCCAGGUGCGCGCGCACGGCGACGCCGCGCUCGCGCGCAUCUGCGGCGCCAUCGCCGCCGACGAGAAGCGGCACGAGGCGGCCUACACCCGCGUCGUGGCGAAGCUCUUCGAGGUGGACCCGGACGCCGCCGUGCGCGCCAUGGCGUACAUGAUGCGGCGCCGCAUCACCAUGCCGGCCGCGCUCAUGGACGACGGCCGCGACGCCGACCUCUUCGCGCACUACGCCGCCGCCGCGCAGCAGGCCGGGGUGUACACCGCGUCGGACUACCGCGGCAUCCUGGAGCACCUCAUACGGCAGUGGCGGGUGGAGGAGCUCUCGGCGGGGCUGUCCGGCGAGGGGAGGCGUGCGCGGGACUACGUCUGCGCAUUGCCGGAGAAGAUCCGGAGGAUGGAGGAGAGGGCCCAUGACAGGGUGCGAAAGGAGCCUACCCCGGUCCCGUUUAUCUGGAUCUUUGAUAGGCCUGUCAGUGUCGUGCUCCAUUGA
RNAcentral lists this ribosomal RNA (1221 nucleotides) under Triticum aestivum (bread wheat). RNAcentral describes it as "partial small subunit ribosomal RNA". Lineage: Eukaryota; Viridiplantae; Streptophyta; Magnoliopsida; Poales; Poaceae. The record is from RNAcentral.